This 468-nucleotide ribosomal RNA is filed under the name uncultured bacterium. RNAcentral describes it as "partial 16S ribosomal RNA". It matches the Rfam family "Bacterial small subunit ribosomal RNA", at positions 28 to 507 of the family's 1533-position model. The record is from RNAcentral.
GACGAACGCUGGCGGCGUGCUUAACACAUGCAAGUCGAACGGAAAGGCCAUGCUUUUGUUGGGUGCUCGAGUGGCGAACGGGUGCGUAACACGGGAGUAAGCUUCCCUAGACUGUGGGAUAACUUCGGGAAACUGGGGCUAAUACCGGAUAGUAGCGCCUGAUGCUUGUUGGUGGUUGGAAAGUUUCGGCGGGUUGGGACGGAAUCGCGGCUUGUCCGCCUGUUGGUGGGGUAGUGUCUUACCAAGGUUUUGACGGGUAGCCGGCCUGAGAGGGUGACCGGCCACAUUGGGACAGGGGUACGGCCCGGACGGCAACGGGGGGAAGGGGUGAGAAAUUUACCGCGAUGGGCGGAAGCAUGAUGGAGCGACGCCGGGUGGGAGAGGACGGUUGUAGGGUAGGAACCCGCUUUCGCGUGGAACGAAGAGUGUGUGACGGUAAUGGAUCAAGAAGCAACGGCUAACUACGUG